UUUAAUUCGAAGCAACGCGAAGAACCUUACCAGGGCUUGACAUCCCGCUGACCCCUCCAGAGAUGGAGGUUUCCUUCGGGACAGCGGUGACAGGUGGUGCAUGGUUGUCGUCAGCUCGUGUCGUGAGAUGUUGGGUUCAGUCCCGCAACGAGCGCAACCCUUGUCGUUAGUUGCCAGCACUUCGGGUGGGCACUCUAACGAGACAGCCGGUGAAAGCCGGAGGAAGGUGGGGAUGACGUCAAAUCAUCAUGCCCCUUAUGUCCUGGGCUACACACGUGCUACAAUGGCUGGUACAAAGGGCAGCGAACCCGCGAGGGGGAGCCAAUCCCAAAAAGCCAGUCUCAGUUCGGAUCGCAGGCUGCAACUCGCCUGCGUGAAGCCGGAAUCGCUAGUAAUCGCGGAUCAGCAUGCCG
This 413-nucleotide ribosomal RNA is filed under the name uncultured bacterium. Its description in RNAcentral is "bacterial SSU rRNA". It matches the Rfam family "Bacterial small subunit ribosomal RNA", at positions 945 to 1359 of the family's 1533-position model. The record is from RNAcentral.